This 484-nucleotide ribosomal RNA is filed under the name uncultured bacterium. Its description in RNAcentral is "partial 16S ribosomal RNA". It matches the Rfam family "Bacterial small subunit ribosomal RNA", at positions 30 to 507 of the family's 1533-position model. The record is from RNAcentral.
AUUGAACGCUGGCGGCAUGCCUUACACAUGCAAGUCGAACGGCAGCACGGACUUCGGUCUGGUGGCGAGUGGCGAACGGGUGAGUAAUGUAUCGGAACGUACCUUUCAGUGGGGGAUAACGUAGCGAAAGUUACGCUAAUACCGCAUAUUCUGUGAGCAGGAAAGCCGGGGAUCGAAAGACCUUGCGCUGAUUGAGCGGCCGAUAUCAGAUUAGCUAGUUGGUGGGGUAAAGGCCUACCAAGGCGACGAUCUGUAGCGGGUCUGAGAGGAUGAUCCGCCACACUGGAACUGAGACACGGUCCAGACUCCUACGGGAGGCAGCAGUGGGGAAUUUUGGACAAUGGGGGCAACCCUGAUCCAGCCAUGCCGCGUGAGUGAAGAAGGCCUUCGGGUUGUAAAGCUCUUUCGGCCGGGAAGAAAUCGCAUAGGCUAAUACCCUGUGUGGAUGACGGUACCGGAAUAAGAAGCACCGGCUAACUACGUG